UAUUCUUAACGAUUAGGAGCGGUUAGUGGCGGACUGGUGAGUAAUGUAUAAGUAACCUGCCUAUCAGAGGGGAACAACAGUUGGAAACGACUGCUAAUACCGCAUAUGCCACGAGAAUCACAUGGUUCAAGUGGGAAAGGAGCAAUCCGCUGAUAGAUGGACUUAUAUCUGAUUAGCUAGUUGGUGGGGUAACGGCCUACCAAGGCGACGAUCAGUAGCCGGACUGAGAGGUUAAACGGCCACAUUGGGACUGAGAUACGGCCCAGACUCC
Molecule: ribosomal RNA, 271 nt
Filed under: uncultured Oscillospiraceae bacterium
Lineage: Bacteria; Bacillati; Bacillota; Clostridia; Eubacteriales; Oscillospiraceae
Description: partial 16S ribosomal RNA
Rfam family: Bacterial small subunit ribosomal RNA
Source: RNAcentral